RNAcentral lists this ribosomal RNA (1112 nucleotides) under uncultured organism. Its description in RNAcentral is "bacterial SSU rRNA". It matches the Rfam family "Bacterial small subunit ribosomal RNA", at positions 33 to 1184 of the family's 1533-position model. The record is from RNAcentral.
ACGCUGGCGGCGUGCUAAUACAUGCAAGUCGAACGAAGCCUGGAUUAUCUAAGGUGGAGAGUGGCGCACGGGUGAGUAACACAUGGCUGACUGCCCUCAGAGGGGGACAACGGUGGAAACGCCGGUAUACCCAUGCUUGCGUCGGGUUAAGGCGGAUGCAAAAGGCGAGCGCUGAGGAGGGGGCUGUGGACCAUCAGCUAGUUGGUAGGGUAACGGCCUACCAAGGCGAGGACGGAUAGGGGGCCUGAGAGGGUGACCCCCAACGGGCACUGAGACACGGGCCCGACUCCUACGGGAGGCAGCAGUAAGGGAUAUUGCGACAAUGGGCGAAAGCCUGACGCAGCAACGCCGCGUGGAGGAUGAAGGCCUUCGGGUCGUAAACUCCUUUUCUGUGGGAAGAGGAAGGACGGUACCACAGGGAAGAAGUCUCGGCUAACUACGUGCCAGCAGCCGCGGCUAAAACGUAGGAGGCGAGCGUUAUCCGGAUUUACUGGGUGUAAAGCGCGUGCAGGCGGUCUGGUAAGUCGAGCGUGAAAGCUCCCGGCUCAACCGGGAGAGGACGUGCGAAACUGCGAGGCUAGAGACAGGUAGAGGCGUACGGAAUUCCGGGUGUAGUGGUGAAAUGCGUAGAUAUCCGGAGCGAACACCAGUGGCGAAGGCGGUACGCUGGGCCUGGUCUGACGCUAAGACGCGAAAGCAUGGGGAGCGAACGGGAUUAGAAACCCCGGUAGUCCAUGCCGUAAACGGAUGCUAACUAGGUGUUGCGGGUAAAAGACCGGCAGUGCCGGAGUUAACGCGAUAAGUUAGCCACCUGGGGACUACGGGUCGCAAGGCUGAGACUCCACGGACUUGACGGGGACCCGCACAAGCAGAGGAGAGUCUGAGAACAUUAGAGGCAACACGCAGAACCGGGACACUGGGCUGGACAUGACGAUGGCAGGGAACCGGAAGGGGACACGACAGUCGGGAGCCGCCACAGGUCAGGCAUGGCUGUCGUCAAGCUCGUGUCAUGAGAUGUUCGGGUAAGUCCGGUAUCGAGCGCAACCCUCAUCGCUAGUUACAAGUGUCUAGCGAGACUGCCCGUUCAACGCGGGAGGAAGUCGGGGAUGACG